Molecule: long non-coding RNA, 714 nt
Organism: Onychostoma macrolepis
Lineage: Eukaryota; Metazoa; Chordata; Actinopteri; Cypriniformes; Cyprinidae
Exons: 3
Source: RefSeq, a predicted model, not a curated record
UUUAAAUAAAUAACGACUUAAAUUUCCGUCUUUUUUCCACCCAAAGCAAUCGAAUGACUACAGGAGACUUUAUAAUAUAGAUUACUUUUAAGAUAUUGACAGUUACUUCUCAGAUGAAAGCCCACACAUACAAAAGCGAAAUGAGUCCCUCGUCAGUUGAACAAGUGUCACUGAGGUGAAUUUGGACCCUCUUCAGGUAUCGUAGACCUCCUUGGGAACACCUCUGAAGGUAAGUAUUCAAAAUCAAACAACAGACUGUGUAAUUUCUGAGCUGCUGCUGUGUGGUUUACACAAAUGAGGUGUUGUAUAUUCCAUUGUUUGAGGCUAGGUGUUAAGAGCUUUUCCUGUGCUCCUUAACUUGAGAGCCACAUACUUCACAUGUCAGACAGAGCCAGGAAUGAGCACAUGGUGGCAUUACUUUAUCUAAGAAGCUUUUGCUGAUGAAUGAGAAUGAUAGUUAUUUGCUUUCAGGUUCCAGCAGAAAUGCAAAAAAGGUGGAUCAUGGGAGCUAGAAGGGAAUCAUCCUUGUCUGACUUCAAAGCAAGAUCUUCUGUUAAAAAAAAAAAAAAGUAAGCUGUGCCUUACACCCUACAGGCAGAACAAAGAGGCUUCAAGAAAGACUACAUGGACCACAUAUUCAUCCCUGUGAAAUGGAGCUGAUACUUCAUCCAGGCAACUGCCAUUGAAAGGAAAGGGAAUGUUCAAUUCGGAUGG